GCCGCUUUAGCUCAAGAUGGCAGUAGCAUUUCAUGAAAUGAAAUGGUUGUCAGUUUAACCCUGACAAGCGGCA
Molecule: transfer RNA, 73 nt
Filed under: Candidatus Tremblayella princeps
Lineage: Bacteria; Pseudomonadati; Pseudomonadota; Betaproteobacteria
Description: Candidatus Tremblaya princeps tRNA-Phe(GAA)
Source: RNAcentral